RNAcentral lists this long non-coding RNA (498 nucleotides) under Homo sapiens (human). RNAcentral's name for it is "HSALNT0143680". Lineage: Eukaryota; Metazoa; Chordata; Mammalia; Primates; Hominidae. The record is from RNAcentral.
UGUGGAAUGCCUGCCACACUCCCGUGGGCUUUUGCCAGAGGGCCUCCCGCCAGUAAUCUGCCCUUCAGAAACUGGCCUUGGAUUUCUCAGUCUCCAUUUGUGACCUUGGUGGCGAGAGGUUUGGGAGUCUAAAUGCAAGGAAAUCAAAGAUCAGAGCCGUGAGAGUUACCAGAGUCCAGAGAACAAUCUGGAUGGAAAGACUACUAAUGUCACGGAAGCCUGGGAAGGAGAAGGUUGUUAAAAUCUGGGCCCUGCCCCAAAUCUACUACGUCAGAAUCUCUAGGGUGGAUCCUGGGGAAGACGCAUCUCAACAAGUUCUCCAGGCGCUUGGGAAGAUGUCCUGGACCAAGGCACUCAUGCAGUGAUCAUAGCAACCCUAGUGAGGAAGGCACCGUCAUCAUCCCUGUGCUGCAGACAAGGAAACAGGGGCACCAAGAGGUUAAGGAACUGGUCCCGCCGGGCGCGGUGGCUCACACCUGUAAUCCCAGCACUUUGGGA